AAUGAACGCUGGCGGCAGGCCUAACACAUGCAAGUCGAGCGAGCAUUUCGGUGCUAGCGGCGGACGGGUGAGUAACGCGUGGGAACGUGCCCUUUUCUGCGGAAUAGUCCUGGGAAACUGGGGGUAAUACCGCAUACGCCCUUUUGGGGAAAGAUUUAUCGGAGAAGGAUCGGCCCGCGUUGGAUUAGGUAGUUGGUGGGGUAAUGGCCCACCAAGCCGACGAUCCAUAGCUGGUUUGAGAGGAUGAUCAGCCACACUGGGACUGAGACACGGCCCAGACUCCUACGGGAGGCAGCAGUGGGGAAUCUUAGACAAUGGGGGCAACCCUGAUCUAGCCAUGCCGCGUAAGUGAUGAAGGCCUUAGGGUUGUAAAGCUCUUUCAGCUGGGAAGAUAAUGACGGUACCAGCAGAAGAAGCCCCGGCUAACUCCGUG
This 433-nucleotide ribosomal RNA is filed under the name uncultured bacterium. Its description in RNAcentral is "partial 16S ribosomal RNA". It matches the Rfam family "Bacterial small subunit ribosomal RNA", at positions 29 to 507 of the family's 1533-position model. The record is from RNAcentral.